UCUGGGGUAGGAGUGAAAUCCUGUAAUCCUGGAGGUUUCGCCGAUGGCGAAACCACCUCAAGACGACGGAUCCGACAGUGAGGGACGAAAGCUAGGGUCUCGAACCGGAUUAGAUACCCGGGUAGUCCUAGCCGUAAACGAUGUUCGCUAGAUGUGGCACAGGCUACGUCCCUGUUGCUGUGUCGUAGGGAAGCCGAGAAGCGAACCGC
Molecule: ribosomal RNA, 209 nt
Filed under: uncultured archaeon
Lineage: Archaea
Description: partial 16S ribosomal RNA
Rfam family: Archaeal small subunit ribosomal RNA
Source: RNAcentral